Molecule: ribosomal RNA, 407 nt
Filed under: uncultured bacterium
Lineage: Bacteria
Description: partial 16S ribosomal RNA
Rfam family: Bacterial small subunit ribosomal RNA
Source: RNAcentral
AUUGAACGCUGGCGGCAGGCCUAACACAUGCAAGUCGAGCGGAGCGGAGGACGGGUGAGUAAUGUCUAGGAAUCGGCCUGGUAGUGGGGGAUAACGUCCGGUAAAGGGCGCUACUACCGCAUACUAUCAGAUGAGCCAAGGUCGGAGUAGCUAGUUGGUGGGGUAAAGGCCUACCAAGGCGACGAUCCGUAACUGUUCUGAGAGGAUGAUCAGUCACACUGGAACUGAGACACGGUCCAUACUCCUACGGGAGGAAGCAGUGGGAAAUAUUGGACAAUGGGCGAAAGCCUGAUCCAGCCAUGCCGCGUGUGUGAAGAAGGUCUUCGGAUUGUAAAGCAUGUUAGGUUGAGAGGCGUUACCGACAGAAUAAGCACCGGCUAACUUCGUGCCAGCAGCCGCGGUAAUUC